RNAcentral lists this ribosomal RNA (491 nucleotides) under uncultured bacterium. Its description in RNAcentral is "bacterial SSU rRNA". It matches the Rfam family "Bacterial small subunit ribosomal RNA", at positions 30 to 513 of the family's 1533-position model. The record is from RNAcentral.
ACUGAACGCUGGCGGCGUGCUUAACACAUGCAAGUCGAUCGGUAACAGGUGUAGCAAUACAUGCUGACGAGAGGCGGACGGGUGAGUAAUGCUUGGGAAUCUGCCUAUUAGUGGGGGACAACCCGGGGAAACUCGGGCUAAUACCGCAUACGCUCUACGGAGGAAAGCCGGGGACCGCAAGGCCUGGCGCUAAUAGAUGAGCCCAAGUCGGAUUAGCUAGUUGGUAGGGUAACGGCCUACCAAGGCGACAAUCCGUAGCUGGUCUGAGAGGACGACCAGCCACACCGGAACUGAGACACGGUCCGGACUCCUACGGGAGGCAGCAGUGGGGAAUAUUGGACAAUGGGGGCAACCCUGAUCCAGCGACGCCGCGUGGGUGAAGAAGGCCUGCGGGUUGUAAAGCCCUUUCGGUGGGGAAGAAAGUCUCGACCUAAUACGUCGGGACCUUGACGUAACCCACUAAAGAAGCACCGGCUAACUCUGUGCCAGCA